UACGUAGGGUGCAAGCGUUAAUCGGAAUUACUGGGCGUAAAGCGUGCGCAGGCGGUUUUGUAAGUCUGUCGUGAAAUCCCCGGGCUCAACCUGGGAAUUGCGAUGGAGACUGCAAGGCUAGAAUCUGGCAGAGGGGGGGUAGAAUUCCACGUGUAGCAGUGAAAUGCGUAGAGAUGUGGAGGAAUACCGAUGGCGAAGGCAGCCCCCUGGGCCAAUACUGACGCUCAUGCCACGAAAGCGUGGGGAGCAAACAGGG
This 256-nucleotide ribosomal RNA is filed under the name uncultured bacterium. RNAcentral describes it as "partial 16S ribosomal RNA". It matches the Rfam family "Bacterial small subunit ribosomal RNA", at positions 524 to 777 of the family's 1533-position model. The record is from RNAcentral.